Molecule: long non-coding RNA, 264 nt
Filed under: Mytilus galloprovincialis (Mediterranean mussel)
Lineage: Eukaryota; Metazoa; Mollusca; Bivalvia; Mytilida; Mytilidae
Source: RNAcentral
GUUCUGGUAAUAGAAGAUACAAUUUGGUUGAAAUGCACUAGAAAUUAACGAAUAAGGGGAGAUAACUCUGUAAUUUGCUAUCAUUCUAACCAAUUUUCUAACCAAGUUAUUUGAUAUUACCAGACACACACAAACGAAAGACCAAUUAUUUUUAACUCAGGAUGAUGAUUAGUAUUAAAUAGCAUGAUUAGCUCGGUGGGUUUUUUCUGAUCAUGUUUUGAUUUUUACCUAAAUUGCCUGAUUCUUACAAAGACUGGCACUUAA